GUCUUACUGCAAGGUUAAUGCUGGUAACCACAAGCAUUUUCAUCCACCCAGGAACCAAGAGUCCUGGUUACCCAUUUCCUCCAUGGAAGUUGGAAAAACACAAACUUGGAUUCUGAGGCCCCAUCUUUACCCUUGUAUCUCAUCUGUGGUAGCUUUGGCUUAGGAGUCCCCAACUCAGGGUCUUUUUAAGCAACCCAACAAGACCUGGCCAUCUUCCUUUCAUACAGCAGUGUAAUUGUUGCCCUCAAAGCCUGUCACUUUCCAAAUGAUUUGAAAGUGCUGAAUGCUAUCCUGAUCUCAUCUCAGUCUCUAGUAUGCCUUGGACCCCUGGGUGUCAGGAUGUCUCCGUGGGACAGUUUCACCUGAAACAAUCUAGCAAUAUGAAUGAAACCAUGAACCCCAAGACAUAAAUAACCUGGAAGAAGAAAUGGCUGAAGUCCCAGGGGCAACCAGAGACAGAGCUCUCUGCCAGAGGAGGAACUUAUGUCUGGAAAAGGAUUUAUAAGUUGUGAGACAACCAUAUGGACUGGUUGGAGCAGAGGCAGUGUUGGACAGGGUAGUGGUGAGAGUUGGUUAGAUGUGUGUGAGACCACACUUUGGCUGAAUGUUCAACCAUGAAUAUCUCUUGCUAGUUUAAUUUAACCCCUACCCUCCUGUUAGGUCCCAAAGGCAGACCUUGACUAGCCAUUGAUCUUUUUUUCCCUCUUCCUGAUAUGGCCACAUUAAAUAAAUCU
This is a non-coding RNA of Arvicanthis niloticus (Nile rat), 734 nucleotides long. The record is from RefSeq and is a predicted model, not a curated record. Lineage: Eukaryota; Metazoa; Chordata; Mammalia; Rodentia; Muridae.